GGAAGUAAAAGUCGUAACAAGGUCUCCGUUGGUGAACCAGCGGAGGGAUCAUUACCGAGUUUACAACUCCCAAACCCCUGUGAACAUACCACUUGUUGCCUCGGCGGAUCAGCCCGCUCCCGGUAAAACGGGACGGCCCGCCAGAGGACCCCUAAACUCUGUUUCUAUAUGUAACUUCUGAGUAAAACCAUAAAUAAAUCAAAACUUUCAACAACGGAUCUCUUGGUUCUGGCAUCGAUGAAGAACGCAGCAAAAUGCGAUAAGUAAUGUGAAUUGCAGAAUUCAGUGAAUCAUCGAAUCUUUGAACGCACAUUGCGCCCGCCAGUAUUCUGGCGGGCAUGCCUGUUCGAGCGUCAUUUCAACCCUCAAGCACAGCUUGGUGCUGGGACUCGCGUUAAUUCGCGUUCCUCAAAUUGAUUGGCGGUCACGUCGAGCUUCCAUAGCGUAGUAGUAAAACCCUCGUUACUGGUAAUCGUCGCGGCCACGCCGUUAAACCCCAACUUCUGAAUGUUGACCUCGGAUCAGGUAGGAAUACCCGCUGAACUUAAGCAUAUCAAUAAGCGGAGGA
RNAcentral lists this ribosomal RNA (568 nucleotides) under uncultured fungus. RNAcentral's name for it is "eukaryotic LSU rRNA". The stretch from base 203 to 356 matches the Rfam family "5.8S ribosomal RNA". The record is from RNAcentral. Lineage: Eukaryota; Fungi.